AACGAACGCUGGCGGCAGGCCUAAUACAUGCAAGUCGAGCGCACCUUCGGGUGAGCGGCGGACGGGUGAGUAACGCGUGGGAAUAUGCCUCUUGGUACGGAAUAGCCUCUGGAAACGGAGAGUAAUACCGUAUGUGCCCUUUGGGGGAAAGAUUUAUCGCCAAGAGAUUAGCCCGCGUCUGAUUAGGUAGUUGGUGGGGUAACGGCCUACCAAGCCUACGAUCAGUAGCUGGUUUGAGAGGAUGAUCAGCCACACUGGGACUGAGACACGGCCCAGACUCCUACGGGAGGCAGCAGUAGGGAAUCUUAGACAAUGGGGGAAACCCUGAUCUAGCCAUGCCGCGUGUGUGAUGAAGGCCUUAGGGUUGUAAAGCACUUUCGCCAGGGAUGAUAAUGACAGUACCUGGUAAAGAAACCCCGGCUAACUCCGUGCCAGCCGCCGCCGUAACAC
RNAcentral lists this ribosomal RNA (450 nucleotides) under uncultured bacterium. RNAcentral describes it as "bacterial SSU rRNA". It matches the Rfam family "Bacterial small subunit ribosomal RNA", at positions 29 to 526 of the family's 1533-position model. The record is from RNAcentral.